AGACCUCUCUCUGUACUCAUCCUUGGCAGACAGCAGGCCCAAGAGGAGGAGGAGGCAGGAGCAGAUUUGCUCUGCUAAGUCAAGAACCCUUCCCCGGGUGGCAUCAGAUUUCAUCUGGCCAAGCUGACAGAGAAGUGAUUAGCAGUCUAAAGGAUACCAACUCCACCUUGGAAAGAUGCCAUGACCCAGAGAAGCCAGUUCUCUUCCUGGCUCAGAAGUGGGAGGAGCUGCACUUGGGAUUCCUACUGUGGUAUUGAGAACCAGCUCCCAGGCUCUGCAAGAUGAAAACCAAUCCUAGAGUUAAACCAAGAUGUCAGGCCGGCUAGGGAGUGGGAAAGAGAAGGAAGCCCAAGUUUAAACAAAAAUGGCCUCGAGGCCGGCUUUCUUUCCUUACUCAAUCUUGCGACUUUCAGAAGAGCCAGCUAUGUGACCAGCGAGACUCCGAGCACAUGACGUUCACUUUAUGAAUCAAAUGUCCCGCCUGGUGGCUCCAACAGGACCAGGAUGAGGCACCACAGGGCAAGGCAUCAGAGGACUACACAAACCCAGGGGCCGCUGUGUGGCUGACUUCAGGAAUGUGAAUGGGGCUGCCAAGUGUGUGACUUGAAACCAUACUGGUGCACCAAGGAUCUUCAAGGUAUGCGACAGCGUUGAGGAUGAAAGAGAAGAUGGCCCAGGAGCUGGUGGUGCACACGUUUAUUCCCAGCACUCAGAAGGCAGAAAGUGCUCUAACUGAGGUUUCUGAAAGCAAACCUGCAGACUGAUGGACUCCUUAAAACUUCCUGAUUGUGGAAGGUGAGAAUGUUGCAGAGCCAAAGCCAACAUCAUCUUGUGACAUUGUUAGUUCUCUCAAUAGCCGUUACUCACCUUCCUCUGCAUCCGACUUAAGACCUAUGGGACGAUCAGGAAAGACUUUAGGAAUGUAUUAACUUGGCUGGCCAUCAUCACCCCCAAGGGCAAGAAUGUCAUCAGAGAACAUCCGAGGAUCUCAACAGGAUCUCCCACUUGGCUGCAACCUCAUGUCCCAGCAAUGUGUUUGACAAAUGCUUUGAUUUGUGACUGUCUUGUGUUUGGUAACUUUUUAGGUUCAGGUCACCACAUCCAUGGUGGAACAUGUCAUUCAAGGCAGUCUGAGUCUGUGUCACUCAUAUUUGGUUUGGAAUAAAAUCUCUCUUAUCCCCUUUGG
RNAcentral lists this long non-coding RNA (1186 nucleotides) under Mus musculus (house mouse). RNAcentral describes it as "RIKEN cDNA 4933424L21 gene". Lineage: Eukaryota; Metazoa; Chordata; Mammalia; Rodentia; Muridae. The record is from RNAcentral.